AUUGAACGCUGGCGGCAGGCCUAACACAUGCAAGUCGAGCGGUAGAGAGAAGCUUGCUUCUCUUGAGAGCGGCGGACGGGUGAGUAAUGCCUAGGAAUCUGCCUGGUAGUGGGGGAUAACGUUCGGAAACGGACGCUAAUACCGCAUACGCCCUACGGGAGAAAGCAGGGGACCUUCCGGCCUUGCGCUAUCAGAUGAGCCUAGGUCGGAUUGGCUAGUUGGUGAGGUAAUGGCUCACCAAGGCGACGAUCCGUAACUGGUCUGAGAGGAUGAUCAGUCACACUGGAACUGAGACACGGUCCAGGCUCCUACGGGAGGCAGCAGUGGGGAAUAUUGGAAAAUGGGCGAAAGCCUGAUCCAGCCAUGCCGCGUGUGUGAAGAAGGUCUUCGGAUUGUAAAGCACUUUAAGUUGGGAGGAAGGGUUGUAGAUUAAUACUCUGCAAUUUUGACGUUACCGACAGAAUAAGCACCGGCUAACUCUGUGCCAGCCGCCGCGGUAA
This 500-nucleotide ribosomal RNA is filed under the name uncultured bacterium. RNAcentral's name for it is "partial 16S ribosomal RNA". It matches the Rfam family "Bacterial small subunit ribosomal RNA", at positions 30 to 523 of the family's 1533-position model. The record is from RNAcentral.